GGAAAGAUUUAUCGCCGAAAGAUCGGCCCGCGUCUGAUUAGCUAGUUGGUGAGGUAAUGGCUCACCAAGGCGACGAUCCGUAACUGGUCUGAGAGGAUGAUCAGUCACACUGGAACUGAGACACGGUCCAGACUCCUACGGGAGGCAGCAGUGGGGAAUAUUGCACAAUGGGGGAAACCCUGAUGCAGCCAUGCCGCGUGUGUGAAGAAGGCCUUCGGGUUGUAAAGCACUUUCAGCGAGGAGGAAAGGGUAGUAUUUAAUAAAUGCUAUCUGUGACGUUACUCGCAGAAGAAGCACCGGCUAACUUCGUGCCAGCA
Molecule: ribosomal RNA, 317 nt
Filed under: Odontella aurita
Lineage: Eukaryota; Bacillariophyta; Thalassiosirophyceae; Eupodiscales; Odontellaceae
Description: partial Bacterial small subunit ribosomal RNA
Rfam family: Bacterial small subunit ribosomal RNA
Source: RNAcentral